Choloepus didactylus (southern two-toed sloth) is the source of this 108-nucleotide small nuclear RNA. The record is from RefSeq and is a predicted model, not a curated record. NCBI's taxonomy places the organism in Eukaryota, Metazoa, Chordata, Mammalia, Pilosa, Megalonychidae.
GUGUUUGCUUCCGCAGCAGCACAUAUACUAAAAUUGGAACAAAACAGAGAAGAUUAACAUGGCCUCUGCACAAGGAUGACACAUAUCCGUAAAGCGUUCCAUAUUUUU